CAAUAGCGUAUACUAAAGUUGUUGCAGUUAAAAAGCUCGUAGUUGGAUUUCUGGUCGUAGCCGCCGGUCGUGCCCAAACGGGUUCUGUACCUGGUGUCCGCGUCCAUCCUCGGGGAGAGCACGUCUGGCAUUAAGUUGUCGGGUGUGGGACCCUCGUCAUUUACUGUGAGCAAAAUAGAGUGUUCAAAGCAGGCUUAGGCCAUGAAUACAUUAGCAUGGAAUAAUAAGAUAGGACCUUGGUCUAUUUUGUUGGUUUGCAUUCCAAGGUAAUGAUUAAUAGGGAUAGUUGGGGGUAUUCGUAUUCAAUUGUCAGAGGUGAAAUUCUUGGAUUUAUGGAAGACGAACUACUGCGAAAGCAUUUACCAAGGAUGUUUUCAUUAAUCAAGAACGAAAGUUAGGGGAUCGAAGACGAUUAGAUACCAU
RNAcentral lists this ribosomal RNA (423 nucleotides) under uncultured eukaryote. RNAcentral's name for it is "SSU rRNA". It matches the Rfam family "Eukaryotic small subunit ribosomal RNA", at positions 592 to 1018 of the family's 1831-position model. The record is from RNAcentral.